RNAcentral lists this ribosomal RNA (253 nucleotides) under uncultured soil bacterium. Its description in RNAcentral is "partial 16S ribosomal RNA". It matches the Rfam family "Bacterial small subunit ribosomal RNA", at positions 26 to 288 of the family's 1533-position model. The record is from RNAcentral.
AGGACGAACGCUGGCGGCGUGCUUAACACAUGCAAGUCAAGGGGGCCCAGCAAUGGGCAACCGGCGAACGGGUGCGUAACACGUGAGCAGCCUACCGAACUGUGGGGGAUAGCCGGCCUAACGGCCGAGUAAUACCGCAUACGCUCUCAGGGAGGCAUUUCUUUGAGAGGAAACCUACGGGACAGAUCGAGGGGCUCGCGGCCUAUCAGCUAGUUGGCGAGGUAACGGCUCACCAAGGCAACGACGGGUAGCU